This 248-nucleotide ribosomal RNA is filed under the name uncultured bacterium. RNAcentral describes it as "partial 16S ribosomal RNA". It matches the Rfam family "Bacterial small subunit ribosomal RNA", at positions 271 to 531 of the family's 1533-position model. The record is from RNAcentral.
AGGCGACNACGGGUAGCCGGCCUGAGAGGGUGACCGGCCACANUGGGACUGAGACACGGCCCAGACUCCUACGGGAGGCAGCAGUGGGGAAUAUUGCACAAUGGGCGAAAGCCUGAUGCAGCGACGCCGCGUGAGGGAUGACGGCCUUCGGGUUGUAAACCUCUUUCAGUAGGGAAGAAGCNAAAGUGACGGUACCUGCAGAANAANCGCCGGCUAACUACGUGCCAGCAGCCGCGGUAAUACAUACA